AAUUUUCUCUCUCUCCAAUGGACUUCGGCGAUGAAGAACCCUUAUAGGCGUUUUUUGAGCAACUUUCAAUUCCUUUAGUGAUGAUAUAGUUUGCAAAUCUUCAUCACUGACAGGACGAGAAAUCCACACCAAUGCAGCGUACUGCUUCUGCUUCUCUGCCUCUCCUUCACGCAUGAGGUCCCACCCUUGACUGCCUACAGCUCUA
Molecule: unclassified non-coding RNA, 205 nt
Filed under: Hevea brasiliensis (rubber tree)
Lineage: Eukaryota; Viridiplantae; Streptophyta; Magnoliopsida; Malpighiales; Euphorbiaceae
Source: RNAcentral